AUUGAAUAACUUAGUGGCGGACGGGUGAGUAACGCGUGAGGACCUGUCGUACGCAGGGGGACAACAGCUGGAAACGGCUGCUAAUACCGCAUAAGCGUGUUUCGGCACGUGAAAGGAGCAAUCCGGCAUACGAGGGACUCGCGUCCUAUCAGCUAGUAGGUUGGGUAAUUGCCGACCUAGGCGAUGACGGGUAGCCGGCCUGAGAGGGCGCACGGCCACACUGGGACUGAGAUACGGCCCAG
RNAcentral lists this ribosomal RNA (242 nucleotides) under uncultured bacterium. RNAcentral describes it as "partial 16S ribosomal RNA". It matches the Rfam family "Bacterial small subunit ribosomal RNA", at positions 82 to 334 of the family's 1533-position model. The record is from RNAcentral.